GAGCACGUAGGUGGGUUUGUAAGUCAGAGGUGAAAGCCUGGAGCUCAACUCCAGAACUGCCUUUGAGACUGCAUCGCUUGAAUCAGGAGAGGUGAGUGGAAUUCCGAGUGUAGAGGUGAAAUUCGUAGAUAUUCGGAAGAACACCAGUGGCGAAGGCGGCUCACUGGACUGGUAUUGACGCUGAGGUGCGAAAGCGUGGGGAGCAAAUAGGAUUAGAUACCCUGGUAGUCCACGCCGUAAACGAUGAUAACUAGCUGUCCGGGCACUAAGUAGAGGGG
This 278-nucleotide ribosomal RNA is filed under the name uncultured bacterium. RNAcentral's name for it is "partial 16S ribosomal RNA". It matches the Rfam family "Bacterial small subunit ribosomal RNA", at positions 565 to 843 of the family's 1533-position model. The record is from RNAcentral.